UUGCACGCUGGCGGCAGGCCUCACACAUGCAAGUCGAACGGUAACAGGAAGCAGCUUGCUGCUUCGCUGACGAGUGGCGGACGGGUGAGUAAUGUCUGGGAAGCUGCCUGAUGGAGGGGGAUAACUACUGGAAACGGUAGCUAAUACCGCAUAAUGUCGCAAGACCAAAGAGGGGGACCUUCGGGCCUCUUGCCAUCGGAUGUGCCCAGAUGGGAUUAGCUUGUUGGUGGGGUAACGGCUCACCAAGGCGACGAUCCCUAGCUGGUCUGAGAGGAUGACCAGCCACACUGGGACUGAGACACGGUCCAGACUCCUACGGGAGGCAGCAGUGGGGAAUAUUGCACAAUGGGCGCAAGCCUGAUGCAGCCAUGCCGCGUGUAUGAAGAAGGCCUUCGGGUUGUAAAGUACUUUCAGCGGGGAGGAAGGGAGUAAAGUUAAUACCUUUGCUCAUUGACGUUACCCGCAGAAGAAGCACCGGCUAACUCCGUG
This 489-nucleotide ribosomal RNA is filed under the name uncultured bacterium. RNAcentral's name for it is "partial 16S ribosomal RNA". It matches the Rfam family "Bacterial small subunit ribosomal RNA", at positions 30 to 507 of the family's 1533-position model. The record is from RNAcentral.